CAGCAUGCGAUGUGCAUCUUGAACAAUGGUAUUCAAGUGUCAAGAAAUGCACCUCAUUCUUUUGAAACUUGAAUACCAUCGUUGCAGAUGCUCAUCGGAUGUUGG
RNAcentral lists this microRNA precursor (105 nucleotides) under Medicago truncatula (barrel medic). RNAcentral describes it as "miR5554a stem-loop (mtr-MIR5554a)". Lineage: Eukaryota; Viridiplantae; Streptophyta; Magnoliopsida; Fabales; Fabaceae. The record is from miRBase by way of RNAcentral.